RNAcentral lists this ribosomal RNA (469 nucleotides) under uncultured bacterium. Its description in RNAcentral is "bacterial SSU rRNA". It matches the Rfam family "Bacterial small subunit ribosomal RNA", at positions 25 to 507 of the family's 1533-position model. The record is from RNAcentral.
CAGGACGAACGCUGGCGGCGUGCCUAACACAUGCAAGUCGAACGAGAUCCAUGGAGCUUGCUCCCGGAAGAUCUAGUGGCGAACGGGUGAGUAACACGUGAGAAACCUGCCCUGGAGUGGGAAUAACUCGGGGAAACUCGAGCUAAUACCGCAUACCCUCGGAUGGUCGCAUGGCCGACCGAGGAAAGAUUUAUCGCUCUAGGAGGGUCUCGCGGCCUAUCAGCUAGUUGGUGGGGUAACGGCCUACCAAGGCAACGACGGGUAGCUGGUUUGAGAGAACGAUCAGCCACACUGGGACUGAGACACGGCCCAGACUCCUACGGGAGGCAGCAGUGGGGAAUCUUGCGCAAUGGGCGAAAGCCUGACGCAGCAACGCCGCGUGCGGGAUGACGGCCUUCGUGGUUGUAAACCGCUUUCAGCAGGGACGAAAAUGACGGUACCUGCAGAAGAAGCCCCGGCUAACUACGUG